RNAcentral lists this ribosomal RNA (424 nucleotides) under uncultured prokaryote. RNAcentral describes it as "bacterial SSU rRNA". It matches the Rfam family "Bacterial small subunit ribosomal RNA", at positions 355 to 774 of the family's 1533-position model. The record is from RNAcentral.
UCGAGGAUCUUCGGCAAUGGGCGCAAGCCUGACCGAGCGACGCCGCGUGCGGGAUGAAGGCCUUCGGGUUGUAAACCGCUGUCAGAGGGGAUGAAGUUCUAGGGGGUUCUCCCCCUGGUUUGACAUAUCCUCAGAGGAAGUACGGGCUAAGUUCGUGCCAGCAGCCGCGGUAAGACGAACCGUAAAAACGUUAUUCGGAAUCACUGGGCGUAAAGGGUGCGUAGGCGGUCCGGUAAGUUGGGGGUGAAAUGCCGCGGCUCAACCGAGGAAUGGCGCCCAAAACUGUCGGACUUGAGGAAGAUAGAGGUGGGCGGAACUUAGGGUGGAGCGGUGAAAUGCGUUGAUAUCCUAAGGAACACCAGUGGCGAAAGCGGCUCACUGGAUCUUUUCUGACGCUGAGGCACGAAAGCUAGGGGAGCGAAGA